CAGGCCUAAUACAUGCAAGUCGAACGGUAACAGCACUUCGGUGGCUGACGAGUGGCGCACGGGUGCGUAACGCGUAUACAAUCUACCUUUUACAGGGGGAUAGCCCAGAGAAAUUUGGAUUAAUACCCCAUGGCAUAUAUUUAUGGCAUCAUAUUUAUAUUAAAGAUUCAUCGGUAAGAGAGGAGUAUGCGUUCUAUUAGCUAGUUGGUGCGGUAACGGCGCACCAAGGCUACGAUAGAUAGGGGCCCUGAGAGGGGGAUCCCCCACACUGGUACUGAGACACGGACCAGACUCCUACGGGAGGCAGCAGUGAGGAAUAUUGGACAAUGGGCGAGAGCCUGAUCCAGCCAUGCCGCGUGCAGGAAGACUGCCCUAUGGGUUGUAAACUGCUUUUAUACGGGAAGAAACACCUCCACGCGUGGGGGCUUGACGGUACCGUAAGAAUAAGGAUCGGCUAACUCCGUGCCAGCAGCCGCGGUAAUACGGAGGAUCCAAGCGUUAUCCGGAAUCAUUGGGUUUAAAGGGUCCGUAGGUGGACGGUUAAGUCAGAGGUGAAAUCCUGCAGCUCAACUGUAGAAUUGCCUUUGAUACUGGUCGUCUUGAGUCACUGUGAAGUGGUUGGAAUAUGUAGUGUAGCGGUGAAAUGCAUAGAUAUUACAUAGAAUACCAAUUGCGAAGGCAGAUUACUAAUAAUAUACUGACACUGAUGGACGAAAGCGUGGGGAGCGAACAGGAUUAGAUACCCUGGUAGUCCACGCCGUAAACGAUGGUCACUAGCUGUUGUUUGGACUUUAAGUCUGAGUGGCUAAGCGAAAGUGAUAAGUGACCCACCUGGGGAGUACGUUCGCAAGAAUGAAACUCAAAGGAAUUGACGGGGGCCCGCACAGGCGGUGGAGCAUGUGGUUUAAUUCGAUGAUACGCGAGGAACCUUACCAGGGCUUAAAUGUAAGUUGCAUAAGCUAGAGAUAGCUUUUUCUUCGGACCACUUACAAGGUGCUGCAUGGUUGUCGUCAGCUCGUGCCGUGAGGUGUCAGGUUAAGUCCUAUAACGAGCGCAACCCCUGUUGUUAGUUGCCAGCGAGUGAAGUCGGGAACUCUAACAAGACUGCCGGUGCAAACCGUGAGGAAGGUGGGGAUGACGUCAAAUCAUCACGGCCCUUACGUCCUGGGCUACACACGUGCUACAAUGGCCGGUACAGAGAGCAGCCACACCGUAAGGUGGAGCGAAUCUACAAAACCGGUCUCAGUUCGGAUCGGGGUCUGCAACUCGACCCCGUGAAGCUGGAAUCGCUAGUAAUCGGAUAUCAGCCAUGAUCCGGUGAAUACGUUCCCGGGCCUUGUACACACCGCCC
This 1351-nucleotide ribosomal RNA is filed under the name uncultured prokaryote. Its description in RNAcentral is "partial 16S ribosomal RNA". It matches the Rfam family "Bacterial small subunit ribosomal RNA", at positions 43 to 1395 of the family's 1533-position model. The record is from RNAcentral.